RNAcentral lists this transfer RNA (56 nucleotides) under Loxodonta africana (African savanna elephant). It matches the Rfam family "tRNA", at positions 8 to 63 of the family's 71-position model. From Rfam's summary of the family: Transfer RNA (tRNA) molecules are approximately 80 nucleotides in length. Their secondary structure includes four short double-helical elements and three loops (D, anti-codon, and T loops). Further hydrogen bonds mediate the characteristic L-shaped molecular structure. tRNAs have two regions of fundamental functional importance: the anti-codon, which is responsible for specific mRNA codon recognition, and the 3' end, to which the tRNAs corresponding amino acid is attached (by aminoacyl-tRNA synthetases). tRNAs cope with the degeneracy of the genetic code in two manners: having more than one tRNA (with a specific anti-codon) for a particular amino acid; and 'wobble' base-pairing, i.e. permitting non-standard base-pairing at the 3rd anti-codon position. Lineage: Eukaryota; Metazoa; Chordata; Mammalia; Proboscidea; Elephantidae. The record is from Rfam by way of RNAcentral.
UGGUUCAGUGGUAGAAUUCUCGUCUUCCAUGUGGGAGACCUGGGUUCAAUUCCCAG